GUGUUUUCUUUAAAAAAUUUAAAAGCAAUGGCUGCAAACAGCAUGCAGCCUCCUCUGUAGUCUAUGCAACCUGUGGCUGGUAGAAGCUAUUCUAAGGGACCGUGGAAACAGUC
This 113-nucleotide small nucleolar RNA is filed under the name Sorex araneus (European shrew). Its description in RNAcentral is "Small nucleolar RNA SNORA70 (ENSSARG00000019616.1)". It matches the Rfam family "Small nucleolar RNA SNORA70". From Rfam's summary of the family: snoRNA U70 seems to be exclusive to mammals and is a member of the H/ACA class of snoRNA which contain H (ANANNA) and ACA box motifs. H/ACA box snoRNAs are involved in the conversion of uridines to pseudouridines (5-ribosyluracil) a constituent of structural RNAs (transfer, ribosomal, small nuclear, and small nucleolar). Lineage: Eukaryota; Metazoa; Chordata; Mammalia; Eulipotyphla; Soricidae. The record is from RNAcentral.